This 77-nucleotide transfer RNA is filed under the name Thiobacillus sp. RNAcentral describes it as "tRNA-Val". It matches the Rfam family "tRNA". From Rfam's summary of the family: Transfer RNA (tRNA) molecules are approximately 80 nucleotides in length. RNAcentral also lists the same sequence under 54 other names. Lineage: Bacteria; Pseudomonadati; Pseudomonadota; Betaproteobacteria; Nitrosomonadales; Thiobacillaceae. The record is from RNAcentral.
AGGCGCGUAGCUCAGCUGGUUAGAGCAUCACCUUGACAUGGUGGGGGUCGUUGGUUCGAGUCCAAUCGCGCCUACCA